AUAAUGAAUGAAAAAGGAAUGGCUGAACCGAAGCAGCGGCGGUCUCUGAACCGGUUCGGCGGUAGCCCGGCAGCCACCUCAAGUGGUAGCGGUGACCUAAACAACAUG
Molecule: non-coding RNA, 108 nt
Organism: Arachis ipaensis
Lineage: Eukaryota; Viridiplantae; Streptophyta; Magnoliopsida; Fabales; Fabaceae
Source: RefSeq, a predicted model, not a curated record